CAGCCGCCGCGGUAAUACCGGCGGCCCGAGUGGCGGCCACUAUUAUUGGGCUUAAAGCGUCCGUAGCCGGGUUGGUUAGUCUCCCGGGAAAUCUGGCCGCUUAACGGUCAGAAUUCCGGGAGAUACUGCCAGCCUAGGGACCGGGAGAGGCCGAGGGGAUUCCCGGAGUAGGGGUGAAAUCCUAUAAUCCCGGGAGGACCACCUGUGGCGAAGGCGCUCGGCUGGAACGGGUCCGACGGUGAGGGACGAAGGCCAGGGGAGCAAACCGGAUUAGAUACCCGGGUAGUCCUGGCUGUAAACGAUGCGGACCUUGUGUCGGACAAGCUAUGAGCUUGUCCGGUGCCGGAGGGAAACCGUUAAGUCCGCCGCCUGGGGAGUACGGCCGCAAGGCUGAAACUUAAAGGAAUUGGCGGG
This 414-nucleotide ribosomal RNA is filed under the name uncultured microorganism. Its description in RNAcentral is "bacterial SSU rRNA". It matches the Rfam family "Archaeal small subunit ribosomal RNA", at positions 459 to 872 of the family's 1478-position model. The record is from RNAcentral.